RNAcentral lists this ribosomal RNA (465 nucleotides) under Vreelandella stevensii. RNAcentral's name for it is "partial 16S ribosomal RNA". It matches the Rfam family "Bacterial small subunit ribosomal RNA", at positions 338 to 795 of the family's 1533-position model. Lineage: Bacteria; Pseudomonadati; Pseudomonadota; Gammaproteobacteria; Oceanospirillales; Halomonadaceae. The record is from RNAcentral.
CCUACGGGUGGCAGCAGUGGGGAAUAUUGGACAAUGGGCGAAAGCCUGAUCCAGCCAUGCCGCGUGUGUGAAGAAGGCCUUCGGGUUGUAAAGCACUUUCAGUGGGGAAGAAAGCCUUGGGGCUAAUACCCUCGAGGAAGGACAUCACCCACAGAAGAAGCACCGGCUAACUCCGUGCCGGCAGCCGCGGUAAUACGGAGGGUGCGAGCGUUAAUCGGAAUUACUGGGCGUAAAGCGCGCGUAGGCGGUCUGAUAAGCCGGUUGUGAAAGCCCCGGGCUCAACCUGGGAACGGCAUCCGGAACUGUCAGGCUAGAGUGCAGGAGAGGAAGGUAGAAUUCCCGGUGUAGCGGUGAAAUGCGUAGAGAUCGGGAGGAACACCAGUGGCGAAGGCGGCCUUCUGGACUGACACUGACGCUGAGGUGCGAAAGCGUGGGUAGCAAACAGGAUUAGAUACCCGUGUAGUC